GAACGAUCACUUUUUAAGCACUAAUACUGAUCACGCAUACUUAAAAAAAUGGCUUCUUUCACGGCGAAUACGGCGGUUUCUCGGAGAUGGCUCGGUGGUAAUCAUACUCACCCGUCAUUAUCAUCUUCUCAAACCUCCGACUUGAGUUAUUUUUCUUGCUCCAUGCCUAUGACAAGUCGUGUCCAACGCAAGCUCAAUGUUUCUUCCGCGCUUCACACUCCUCCUGCUCUUCUUUUCCCCAAGCAGUCCUCAACCUCUCCCGCCAUUGUUGUUAACCCCAAAGCCAAAGACUCCGACACUAAACAGAUGAACUUGUUCCAAAGAGCAGCGGCGGCAGCCUUGGACGCGGCGGAGGGCUUCCUCGUGAGCCACGAGCGACAACAUCCACUCCCUAAAACCGCCGAUCCUAGUGUUCAGAUCGCCGGAAACUUCGCUCCGGUGAAUGAACAGCCCGUCCGGCGUAAUCUCCCGGUGGUCGGAAAGAUACCUGAUUCCAUCAAAGGAGUGUACGUGCGCAACGGGGAUAAACACAAAUGAAAUUUCAGAAUUUUAGCAUUUUAGAAUUUUAUGCACACUAAAUGUGUUUAUAAGGGAAAUGUCGUGUUGUGGAGGAUAAAUCUCAAAUAGAUUAGAGGUUGUUGCACGACAUAUGUUAUGCUCAAGUUGCCUAAGACUUGUUAGCAAACAUAGAAACAGAAGAAGACAAAAACAAGACAAAGGGAGUUAAAGAUUGAAGUAGAUGCAUUUGUCCAAGUGUGAAAGGUCUCAACUUUGAACCAUAUUACUCUGUUUUUUUAGUCUGUUCCCAAAAUACCCUUUUAACACCCACUCACUCCAUUCCUCUCUCCGUCACUGAUUCAACACGUGGCCACCUAGAUGGGACCCACCAUUCCUCUCCCGGGUUAUAUAAACGCUCAACACUUCAUCGCUCUCAAACCAACUCUCUCUUCCCUUCUCCACUUCAACGACAAAGUAAAAAAAAAACAGACUUUACAAAUCUCAAAACAGAACGAUCACUUUUUAAGCACUAAUACUGAUCACGCAUACUUAAAAAAAUGGCUUCUGUCACGGCGAAUACGGCGGUUUCUCGGAGAUGGCUCGGUGGUAAUCAUCCUCAGCCGUCAUUAUCAUCUUCUCAAACCUCCGACUUGAGUUAUUCUUGCUCUAUGCCUAUGACAAGUCGUGUCCAACGCAAGCUCAAUGUUUCUUCCGCGCUUCACACUCCUCCUGCUCUUCUUUUCCCCAAGCAGUCCUCAACCUCUCCCGCCAUUGUUGUUAACCCCAAAGCCAAAGACUCCGACACUAAACAGAUGAACUUGUUCCAAAGAGCAGCGGCGGCAGCCUUGGACGCGGCGGAGGGCUUCCUCGUGAGCCACGAGCGACAACAUCCACUCCCUAAAACCGCCG
RNAcentral lists this long non-coding RNA (1407 nucleotides) under Brassica napus (rape). RNAcentral's name for it is "long non-coding RNA (BNAP_LNC000822)". The record is from RNAcentral. Lineage: Eukaryota; Viridiplantae; Streptophyta; Magnoliopsida; Brassicales; Brassicaceae.